Molecule: long non-coding RNA, 2261 nt
Organism: Dromaius novaehollandiae (emu)
Lineage: Eukaryota; Metazoa; Chordata; Aves; Casuariiformes; Dromaiidae
Exons: 3
Source: RefSeq, a predicted model, not a curated record
UUCACUGGCACUUCACGUACCAUUCUCUGGUCUUCACGGCAUACUGCUAAAGAAAGUUGCAACCAAGAAACAGAAAAUGGAUGCAGUUUUGAAAGAAUUCAGCUGACCAUGCCAAUUCCCUGGCGGACAUCAGAUUAGAGGAACCAGGAUGGGGAAACAGUGAUCAGAUAAUGAGCCUUGCUGGCCACCUGACAGCUUACCACCAGCGUAUUAGCAUCAGCUGUGAGGAACCCAGCACUGACAGAGGAAUGAAGGCUCACCUCCAAAGCCAGUUGGUGGGAAUGAGCAAGUGCUGGAGAAUGCUGGUGGCUCCUUUCUUCCCUCUACCAUUUAGAAGAAAAGCAUGGAAAUUUGUUCUCUCCACUACUGGCUUAUAAAGUCCUUGGGGAUCUUCUUCUUCUUCUUUUUUAUUUUAUUUUAUUUUUUAUUUUUUUCCCCGAAGAGUUUGCACAUCUCUAAUCAAGGUAUCUGAAAGUCCUAUCUGAACACAAACAAUAAAGAUAAAAACACUAGGCAAAACUGAAAACUUUUUAUAGGAGUUGAGUAACAAAGACAGACUUCCUUAGAGAGGAGGUCUAUGUACUGGUCCAAGGGCUGAUACAAAAACCUAAGCAGAACAGAUUAAAUGAGAUGAUACAACUGAAAGUUCAAGGAAAGAGGUUUUCAGAAUAAAUAACGGAGAGGAAGGGAGGGAGACAGGAAAUGAGGAAAAGAAGGGAUACAGAAAAGAAUAAGAGAGACACAGAGAAUAAACAAUGUAUUUUUAAAGAGAGGCAAAAAUGACUGAUUUCGAGGGAAUAACAAAGUGAGGUUUGAAAAGAAAAAUCUGUUUUUUUAAGAAGAUUUGUUUCCUAUUUCUGGUUCUGCCAUCGGUCUGCUGCAGUCUUCACUUUCUUCUGCUCCCCUGUUUCAAUCUUUAUCUUCUCUACAUAUGUUGUAAAGUCUUCUGGGAAGGAUCUCCUACUGUAUAUUUUUACAUUGCCUAACAAAAUAGCGCCUCAGUCAUAACUUGUGCCUCUUAAUAUUACUGCAGCACAAAUAGUAAAGAGCAUUAGUAAUAAUAGCUGGGAAAGCUGUUCAGUAAUUUUUUACCUUAAGAUUUUUAACAGCAAAUGUCAUUUCUGUGAUGCUGAUGCUGUUCAAUUUGGCCAAUGAAAUUCAAAUUAUCUAUCAUGAAAACUGAAAGAAAAUAUAGUGUUUCAUUUCAGUUCAUCUGAAAAAAAACCCUUUUGCUUCUUGAACGGAUACAAAACAUUUCAGAUGCAUAAACUGCACAUCUCUUUUUUGGGAGUUCCUCUCUUAAAUAGCAUGAUCCACUGGAGGAUGUGUGGUCACUCAGUAGCUGGGGCGUACCGCAAGUUGAAGUCUAGCUAAGAAGUCUGUUAGACACCAAAGCAACAACUACUAUAGGGCCAUACAGUUUAAGAUUGAGCUGACCUGAAAUGAAAUUACAUAUUUAAGUGAAAAUCCUGAAACAAAGUAUCAGAUUUACAAAUAAAAAUUCUCCCAAGCUUUAGAAAGCUAUAAAAAAAGUUUCAUAGUUCAGUGUGAUCCUGAUUCAGGACAAACCCCCCAAAUUUGAGUAUUUGGAAUUCUUCAUGGAGCAGUGAAUUUUUGUUAAUUGUUAUUACUGAGGAACAGUUAUUAGAUAUUGGAAAUAGCCUCAUAGUAUGGUUCCCAGACAGGCAGUAACAGAGGAUGAUGACCCCAGUGGAAACAGAGGGAGGGAGGAAGUAACUCUUCAGAAGUUAGAAAACAAAAAUGCUAAAAAUCAGAUUGCCAUGGAAAGGAAUAAAUAAGUGAAGCAGUUUGGAUGAGGCUCAGUGGUGUAAAGAGUAAUCAAAGGAUGUUUUGAAUAUGCACAGUGCUAGAAAUGACUAAAAAUACAUUUUUGUUGUGUUUCUGCAAAAAGGGAAAUAGCAGGAAUAGAGGUUUGUUGUAAUUAAAAUGUCUCCCGUUAUAAAAAGCACAUGUGUGGGUAGGGAAAAAGGGAUUUUAUUCUUCCUCAGUGUGUGUUGACAAAAACUGUAUUCUCAUGCGAAAUCUAUAUUUAAAAUGCAAAAUAUAUAUUUAAAAUAUAACUAAGGAAAACUAACAUAUAUAGACUAUUAAUCACAAAAAUAAACAUUUUAUUUGUUUUUGAGGUGGUUGGUUUUCUUGUAGCAACUGUUUGUGCUCUAAUAGCUUAUGCUGUGCCUGCUAAUAUGUAUUAAAUACUUGAAAAAGAUAUAAUAAUAAUUAUUGUUAUUAUUUUGAUUAAA